UUUGUCGAGCCUGCGACUUUUGUCGCAGAAAGCUCGACAUAGGGAUAGCGAUCCGGCGGCAGCGGCGGCGGCGGCGUUAGCUAACUUCUUAAAAGCUUUAUAUUUUAGAAGGUGGAAGGUCUGGAGGCUUCAUACUUUGUAUAUGGAUGCCUCAUGUUACGAAGUUUCGGUCAGUCACAUGUCCAAUGUCCUUGACCUCAUUUUCAUGGUUCAGUGACUACUUGAAAAAAAAGUUAAGAUUUUUUGUAAUGUUAGAUUCUCUCUUAUUAUAAGUAAUAAGAUAACUAUAUUUGGUAUGUGCGUACCUUGCAAGGUCCUCAUGCCCGUCAGACAGUUUUCACUUGACCUCGACCUCAUUUCAUGGAUCAGUGAACAAGGUUAAGUUUUGGUGGUCAAGUCCAUAUCUCAGAUACUAUAAGCAAUAGGUCUAGUAUAUUCGGUGUAUGGAAGGACUGUAAGGUGUACAUGUCCAACUGGCAGGUGUCAUCUGACCUUGACCUCAUUUUCAUGGUUCAGUGGUUAUAGUUAAGUUUUUGUGUUUUGGUCUGUUUUUCUUAUACUGUAUGCCAUAGGUCUACUAUAUUUGGUGUAUGGAAUGAUUGUAAGGUGUACAUGUCUAGCGGGCAGGUGUCAUCUGACCUUGACCUUAUUUUCAUGGUUCAGUGGUCAAAGUUAAGUUUUUGAGUUUUGGUCUUUUUUUCUAAUACUAUGUGCAAUAGUUCAACUAUAUUUGGUAUGUGCGUACCUUGCAAGGUCCUCAUGCCCGUCAGACAGUUUUCACUUGACCUCGACCUCAUUUCAUGGAUCAAUGAACAAGGUUAAGUUUUGGUGGUCAAGUCCAUAUCUCAGAUACUAUAAGCAAUAGGUCUAGUAUAUUCGGUGUAUGGAAGGACUGUAAGGUGCACAUGUCCAACUGGCAGGUGUCAUCUGACCUUGACCUCAUUUUCAUGGUUCAGUGGUUAUAGUUAAGUUUUUGUGUUUUGGUCUGUUUUUCUUAUACUAUAUGCAAUAGUUCAACUAUAUUUGGUGUAUAGAAAUAUUUUAUGAUCUAUUUGGCAGUCACGCAGGUUUUAUUUGACCUUGACCUCAUUUUCAAGGUUCAUUGCUCAGUGUUAAGUUUUUGUGUUUUGGUCUGUUUUUCUUAUACUGUAUGCAAUAGGUCUACUAUAUUUGGUGUAUGAAAUGAUUGUAAGGUGUACAUGUCUAGCUGGCAGGUGUCAUCUGACCUUGACCUCAUUUUCAUGGAUCAGUGGUCAAAGUUAAGUUUUUGAGUUUUGGUCUUUUUUUCUAAUACUAUAUGCAAUAGUUCAACUAUAUUUGGUGUAUGGAGAUAUUUUAUGAUCUAUAUGUCAGUCACGCAGGUUUUAUUUGACCUUGACCUCAUUUUCAAGGUUCAUUGCUCAGUGUUAAGUUUUUGUGUUUUGGUCUGUUUUUUGUCGAGCCUGCGACUUUUGUAGCAGAAAGCUCGACAUAGGGAUAGCGAUCCGGCGGCGGCGGCGGCGUUAGCUAACUUCUUAAAAGCUUUAUAUUUUAGAAGGUGGAAGGUCUGGAUGCUUCAUACUUUGUAUAUGGAUGCCUCAUGUUACGAAGUUUCCGUCAGUCACAUGUCCAAUGUCCUUGACCUCAUUUUCAUGGUUCAGUGACUACUUGAAAAAAAAGUUCAGAUUUUUUGUAAUGUUAGAUUCUCUCUUAUUAUAAGUAAUAAGAUAACUAUAUUUGGUAUGUGCGUACAUUGCAAGGUCCUCAUGCCCGUCAGACAGUUUUCACUUGACCUCGACCUCAUUUCAUGGAUCAGUGAACAAGGUUAAGUUUUCGUGGUCAAGUCCAUAUCUCAGAUACUAUAAGCAAUAGGUCUAGUAUAUUCGGUGUAUGGAAGGACUGUAAGGUGUACAUGUCCAACUGGCAGGUGUCAUCUGACCUUGACCUCAUUUUCAUGGUUCAGUGGUUAUAGUUAAGUUUUUGUGUUUUGGUCUGUUUUUCUUAUACUGUAUGCCAUAGGUCUACUAUAUUUGGUGUAUGGAAUGAUUGUAAGGUGUACAUGUCUAGCGGGCAGGUGUCAUCUGACCUUGACCUUAUUUUCAUGGUUCAGUGGUCAAAGUUAAGUUUUUGAGUUUUGGUCUUUUUUUCUAAUACUAUGUGCAAUAGUUCAACUAUAUUUGGUAUGUGCGUACCUUGCAAGGUCCUCAUGCCCGUCAGACAGUUUUCACUUGACCUUGACCUCAUUUCAUGGAUCAAUGAACAAGGUUAAGUUUUGGUGGUCAAGUCCAUAUCUCAGAUACUAUAAGCAAUAGGUCUAGUAUAUUUGGUGUAUGGAAGGACUGUAAGGUGUACAUGUCCAACUGGCAGGUGUCAUCUGACCUUGACCUCAUUUUCAUGGUUCAGUGGUUAUAGUUAAGUUUUUGUGUUUUGGUCUGUUUUUCUUAUACUGUAUGCCAUAGGUCUACUAUAUUUGGUGUAUGGAAUGAUUGUAAGGUGUACAUGUCUAGCGGGCAGGUGUCAUCUGACCUUGACCUUAUUUUCAUGGUUCAGUGGUCAAAGUUAAGUUUUUGAGUUUUGGUCUUUUUUUCUAAUACUAUGUGCAAUAGUUCAACUAUAUUUGGUAUGUGCGUACCUUGCAAGGUCCUCAUGCCCGUCAGACAGUUUUCACUUGACCUUGACCUCAUUUCAUGGAUCAAUGAACAAGGUUAAGUUUUGGUGGUCAAGUCCAUAUCUCAGAUACUAUAAGCAAUAGGUCUAGUAUAUUUGGUGUAUGGAAGGACUGUAAGGUGUACAUGUCCAACUGGCAGGUGUCAUCUGACCUUGACCUCAUUUUCAUGGUUCAGUGGUUAUAGUUAAGUUUUUGUGUUUUGGUCUGUUUUUCUUAUACUAUAUGCAAUAGUUCAACUAUAUUUGGUGUAUGGAAAUAUUUUAUGAUCUAUUUGGCAGUCACGCAGGUUUUAUUUGACCUUGACCUCAUUUUCAAGGUUCAUUGCUCAGUGUUAAGUUUUUGUGUUUUGGUCUGUUUUUCUUAAACUAUAAGCAAUAGGUCAACUAUAUUUGUUGUAUGGAUGAAUUGUUAGCUGUACAUGCCUGCCUAGCAUGGUUCAUCUGACCUUGACC
Molecule: long non-coding RNA, 3099 nt
Organism: Mytilus californianus (California mussel)
Lineage: Eukaryota; Metazoa; Mollusca; Bivalvia; Mytilida; Mytilidae
Exons: 4
Source: RefSeq, a predicted model, not a curated record